This 204-nucleotide ribosomal RNA is filed under the name uncultured Lactobacillus sp. Its description in RNAcentral is "partial 16S ribosomal RNA". It matches the Rfam family "Bacterial small subunit ribosomal RNA", at positions 158 to 355 of the family's 1533-position model. The record is from RNAcentral. Lineage: Bacteria; Bacillati; Bacillota; Bacilli; Lactobacillales; Lactobacillaceae.
AGAUGCUAAUACCGGAUAACAACAGAUGAUGCCUAUCAACUGUUUAAAAGAUGGCUCUGCUAUCACUCUUGGAUGGACCUGCGGUGCAUUAGCUAGUUGGUAGGGUAACGGCCUACCAAGGCGAUGAUGCAUAGCCGAGUUGAGAGACUGAUCGGCCACAUUGGGACUGAGACACGGCCCAAACUCCUACGGGAGGCAGCAGCU